This 253-nucleotide ribosomal RNA is filed under the name uncultured bacterium. RNAcentral's name for it is "partial 16S ribosomal RNA". It matches the Rfam family "Bacterial small subunit ribosomal RNA", at positions 524 to 776 of the family's 1533-position model. The record is from RNAcentral.
UACGUAGGGCGCAAGCGUUGUCCGGAAUUAUUGGGCGUAAAGAGCUCGUAGGCGGUCUGUCACGUCGGCUGUGAAAACCCGAGGCUCAACCUCGGGCCUGCAGUCGAUACGGGCAAACUAGAGUACUGCAGGGGAGACUGGAAUUCCUGGUGUAGCGGUGAAAUGCGCAGAUAUCAGGAGGAACACCGGUGGCGAAGGCGGGUCUCUGGGCAGUAACUGACGCUGAGGAGCGAAAGCGUGGGGAGCGAACAGG